This 732-nucleotide ribosomal RNA is filed under the name uncultured bacterium. Its description in RNAcentral is "bacterial SSU rRNA". It matches the Rfam family "Bacterial small subunit ribosomal RNA", at positions 771 to 1501 of the family's 1533-position model. The record is from RNAcentral.
AACAGGAUUAGAUACCCUGGUAGUCCACGCCCUAAACGAUGUCAACUAGUUGUUGGUAGAGUAAAAUCUAUGAGUAACGCAGCUAACGCGUGAAGUUGACCGCCUGGGGAGUACGAUCGCAAGAUUAAAACUCAAAUGAAUUGACGGGGGCCCGCACAAGCGGUGGAUUAUGUGGAUUAAUUCGAUGCAACGCGAAAAACCUUACCUGGCCUUGACAUGUAACGAACUUUCCAGAGAUGGAUUGGUGCUCGAAAGAGAACGUUAACACAGGUGCUGCAUGGCUGUCGUCAGCUCGUGUCGUGAGAUGUUGGGUUAAGUCCCGCAACGAGCGCAACCCUUGCCAAUAAUUGCCAUCAUUUAGUUGGGCACUUUAUUGGGACUGCCGAUGACAAAUCGGAGGAAGGUGGGGAUGACGUCAAGUCCUCAUGGCCCUUAUGGCCAGGGCUUCACACGUAAUACAAUGGUCGGUACAGAGGGUCGCCAACCCGCGAGGGGGAGCUAAUCCCAGAAAGCCGAUCGUAGUCCGGAUUGUUCUCUGCAACUCGAGAGCAUGAAGUCGGAAUCGCUAGUAAUCGCGGAUCAGCAUGUCGCGGUGAAUACGUUCCCGGGCCUUGUACACACCGCCCGUCACACCAUGGGAGUGGGUUUUACCAGAAGUAGGUAGUCUAACCGCAAGGGGGGCGCUUACCACGGUAGUAUUCAUGACUGGGGUGAAGUCGUAACAAGGUAACC